UCUCCGUAGGUGAACCUGCGGAGGGAUCAUUACUGAGUGAGGGUUCCGGCCCGACCUCCAACCCUUUGUGAAUUCGACCCAGUUGCCUCGGGGGCGACCCGGCCUCUGCUGCCAGGGCCCCCGGUGGACCACUCAACUCUGCAUCUUUGCGUCUGAGUAAAUAUUUGAAUCAAUCAAAACUUUCAACAACGGAUCUCUUGGUUCUGGCAUCGAUGAAGAACGCAGC
This 226-nucleotide unclassified non-coding RNA is filed under the name uncultured fungus. RNAcentral describes it as "sequence contains ITS1, 5.8S rRNA gene". The stretch from base 178 to 226 matches the Rfam family "5.8S ribosomal RNA", at positions 1 to 49 of the family's 154-position model. The record is from RNAcentral. Lineage: Eukaryota; Fungi.